UUUGGAUUAAUUCUGUUCUUGCUGUGGAGAGACUACCGAAGGAAAAUUCCGUACAGGGCGAGACUGCGCACUCUAUUGGCUAGUCUUUUCAGCUCAGACCUCUGGCAUUUGCACUAUGUUGCCUCUGGGGCUUUAAGCAUCUGAGUGGAGAUACUUCAGAUUCUUUUAAUCUGGAAGAAAGCAAAAACGGAGUGGCUGGAAGAACUCGGCCAGUCAGGCAGCGUCUGCAUCUGCAGUUGGCAAUUCAGCUCAAGACCCUGCACCAGGACUGAGAGUGUAGAGGAAUAUGCAAUGAUCAAGACCUUCGAUCGAGCAGGAAAGCAGCAUCCAUCAUCAAGGAGCCUCAUCAUCCA
Long non-coding RNA from Mobula hypostoma (lesser devil ray), 353 nucleotides. RefSeq lists it as uncharacterized. The transcript is spliced from 3 exons. The record is from RefSeq and is a predicted model, not a curated record. Lineage: Eukaryota; Metazoa; Chordata; Chondrichthyes; Myliobatiformes; Myliobatidae.